GACGAACGCUGGCGGCGUGCUUAACACAUGCAAGUCGAACGGAAAGGCCCUGCUUUUGUGGGGUGCUCGAGUGGCGAACGGGUGAGUAACACGUGAGUAACCUGCCCUUGACUUUGGGAUAACUUCAGGAAACUGGGGCUAAUACCGGAUAGGAGCUCCUGCUGCAUGGUGGGGGUUGGAAAGUUUCGGCGGUUGGGGAUGGACUCGCGGCUUAUCAGCUUGUUGGUGGGGUAGUGGCUUACCAAGGCUUUGACGGGUAGCCGGCCUGAGAGGGUGACCGGCCACAUUGGGACUGAGAUACGGCCCAGACUCCUAUGGGAGGCAGCAGUGGGGAAUAUUGCGCAAUGGGCGGAAGCCUGAUGCAGCAACGCCGCGUGCGGGAUGACGUCCUUCGGGUUGUAAACCGCUUUCGCCUGUGACGAAGCGUGAGUGACGGUAAUGGGUAAAGAAGCACCGGCUAACUACGUG
This 468-nucleotide ribosomal RNA is filed under the name uncultured bacterium. Its description in RNAcentral is "partial 16S ribosomal RNA". It matches the Rfam family "Bacterial small subunit ribosomal RNA", at positions 28 to 507 of the family's 1533-position model. The record is from RNAcentral.